Non-coding RNA from Negativicoccus succinicivorans DORA_17_25, 82 nucleotides. Lineage: Bacteria; Bacillati; Bacillota; Negativicutes; Veillonellales; Veillonellaceae. The record is from Rfam.
GCCGAUGUGGCGGAAUUGGCAUACGCACACGACUCAAAAUCGUGCGGAGAAAUCCAUACGGGUUCGACUCCCGUCAUCGGCA